This is a long non-coding RNA of Lotus japonicus, 668 nucleotides long. RefSeq lists it as uncharacterized. The record is from RefSeq and is a predicted model, not a curated record. NCBI's taxonomy places the organism in Eukaryota, Viridiplantae, Streptophyta, Magnoliopsida, Fabales, Fabaceae. The transcript has 3 exons.
CUAACAUUUGCCUAUCAAAAAACAAAAAACUCUCUCGUUCUCGUCUUCUCUCUCUCUCUCUCUCACCUUCGAGAUCUGCUAAUGGAGGUUCUCAGUUCUCUCUCGCUUCACGAUCUCGUUCACGGUUCUCAGUUCUCCCUCAUUCUCAUCUUUGUGCUAGGAUCGUUGCCUGCCACACUGGAUAUCGAUUCCGAUUAUGUAAUCUCAUCUGUGUACUCUCUGGAUCUGAGACUCAUUGUCAUCCAAACGACAAUAUUAUGUUGGAAAAAUAGAAUGAAGGUUGCGUCGUGGAAGAACCACUGCCUUGAAAGCAAAAAUUUCGGCUGACCUCGAUGCAAUCCAGUGCAGGGUUUGCUCCCCAAGGUUAACACAACCACAUUUAAGGUACUGUGCACUCAUAACCUAAAAGUGUUGGAGUCUCUACAACAAUGCUCAGAACCACUAAAGGAGAGGAAGAAAUAUUUUAUUUUUCCUUUUGUUGUCUUUUAUCAUUGUUCACGGCCUCUUCUUCUUAUAUAGAAAGCAAGAAUUCUCAUUUUCCUUCCCUCUGUUGCUUUUCCAUUGAAUACUCAUAAGUGUGUGGUCAAAGAGGCCAUAAACAAUUGAACACUAGAAAUCAAACUGAUGUGAAUUGUAUAUUUCAGCUUAAAAGUCCUUUGAAUAUCCAA